Molecule: non-coding RNA, 46 nt
Organism: Schistosoma mattheei
Lineage: Eukaryota; Metazoa; Platyhelminthes; Trematoda; Strigeidida; Schistosomatidae
Source: Rfam
GCACCGCUGUGGAGUCCCACAAUAGGACAAAACGGCCGUCCAGUGC